GGGCAGCCUGGAGAGAGCUUCAAACAAGACCAGAUCUGUUUUUAUAGAUGUGUUUGCUUACGUUGUAAAAGCCUGAAAAAAAAAUGGCUUUCAUAGCACGACUUGAGGCAAAACCCCUAUGCUAUCAGGAGCGCCUGUCAUCUCUUCCCUGUUUAAUUAAGUCUAGGGCCUCAGGGGAGGUCACAAGAAUGGAAUUCCCAGCAAGUCUCUGUUCUCUGUAACUUGAGCCUGGGGUCCCAGAAAGGUGCCACGCAAAAACAGCUCCUUCUCUGCUAGAGUGGCCCCUAAAGGUGCUCCUGGAUAUCUGGCUGAGGGAAUCAACCAGGAGCUAGAGCCUACUGACAGGACAGCUCAAGGGAACGAAGGAAGAUGGCCACCUCCAGGUGUGCCUGCUACAGCCUCCCUGCCAGCGGCUUUAUCCUUGGUCCUGCCUCUACAGCUAAAAAAAAAAAAAAAAGCAGUUCUAAUGUUUGUUGAGACCUAUAAUAUCACAGACUCCUGUAGGGUCCUGCAGGCCCAUUUCCCACCAGCCACUCCCUGAAAUGAUAAACAUCUGCCCCAAAGACUCCCUGCAGAGAGAUAAGCUGUGUGGCUCUUAGGCUAGGGGCAGGUUCAAAUCAAAGUACAGUCAGAGUAGAAGGCCAUUGGAGGGAAUUCUCCAUUCUUAUUUAUUUCCUGAGAAGUCUUUAGUACAGAAUACC
This 701-nucleotide long non-coding RNA is filed under the name Mus musculus (house mouse). Its description in RNAcentral is "long non-coding RNA chr7:67142649-67143350". Lineage: Eukaryota; Metazoa; Chordata; Mammalia; Rodentia; Muridae. The record is from RNAcentral.